AAGACAUGCCGAAUGGAAGUUCGCACAGCUGAGUCUUUCUAGGAGGCAAGUUCUUCGGUGUAGUCCCUAAGUUGUAUGUGUAAAUUCGCUAAAAUACCAGUCUCAUGCGCGAGCCAUUGGUGACGCACGCUGGAGGUUUGGAGAAUCACCACCUUUCAGUCAAGAACGCACAUGCUGCAAUUGGCAGAGGUCUCUCUGCACAGCGUGUGCGUCAACUUGAACUGGAAGGGGCUCCAAGUGUGCAGCCUGGAACGGCAAGCUGGGUGGAAUGCAGUGCAGUCCCCACACAACGAUUUCCAAGAAGCCCCACUUGUGUGAUUAAGAUGCAAGGUCGAUACAACUGAACAGGUUUAUAGUGAUGGGGCUUUUGGUUGAAGAGUGUCUUGUCGCUAGAUUCACAUAUUUGUGAAUGUUUAUGAUCACGAAAGCCACUGUGUGUAGUAGGGGUGACCAUUUGUCCGUUAUAUUGUCACUUCGUAUCUUUUUGGGUGCUUGUCUGAAUUCGCUAUUACACAUUAGGUGACCAUCAACCUUAUACAGACCAAUUUUUGUACGUUUUGCUUUCGAAGGUGUGGAUUUCUUCGGAUUUGAGGUUUGAUUUAAUCCCAUUUGGCCGUCCAUGUUAGCCACUUUUAUAUCCCGCAGACUCCUCGAAUCCAUUUUAUUUCAUGGUAGACUUUCGAAGUUCUUCAAACAUGAAGAAAUCUCCAAACGAAUCGCAACUAAUUAGUUUGUUAUCUACGUCUUGUGAACAGGACGUGUUUGUGAGGUCGCACUUCUGGAUCACCAGGGUGACGCGACCGUGAAGCAACACAGGAUUUAUUUUGAGAGUGAUUGUAAUCCUUUACUCAUCGCACUAUCAGGAGCAGCUUCGUAACCAAUACACCAAGAGUUCGAUCACGGAUCUCGUGCCUCGAUAUCAAAUAUUGUAGACUUAAAAUGACAGGCUGAUUAGUAAUGUGGAUCCUCAGUCAAUCUGAUACUCGAACACUUGAAAAAACUCAACCUUACUGUGAAAGAAGGAUUAAUUGCUUGUAAAGGCUUUUGGUGAGAUGAUUAUAA
Non-coding RNA from Physcomitrium patens, 1062 nucleotides. The record is from RefSeq and is a predicted model, not a curated record. NCBI's taxonomy places the organism in Eukaryota, Viridiplantae, Streptophyta, Bryopsida, Funariales, Funariaceae.